This 460-nucleotide ribosomal RNA is filed under the name uncultured bacterium. RNAcentral's name for it is "partial 16S ribosomal RNA". It matches the Rfam family "Bacterial small subunit ribosomal RNA", at positions 338 to 795 of the family's 1533-position model. The record is from RNAcentral.
CCUACGGGUGGCAGCAGUGAGGAAUAUUGGUCAAUGGACGAGAGUCUGAACCAGCCAAGUAGCGUGAAGGAUGACUGCCCUAUGGGUUGUAAACUUCUUUUAUAUGGGAAUAAAAUGUUCCACGUGUGGGAUUUUGUAGGUACCAUAUGAAUAAGGAUCGGCUAACUCCGUGCCAGCAGCCGCGGUAAUACGGAGGAUCCGAGCGUUAUCCGGAGUUAUUGGGUUUAAAGGGAGCGUAGGUGGAUUGUUAAGUCAGUUGUGAAAGUUUGCGGCUCAACCGUAAAAUUGCAGUUGAAACUGGCAGUCUUGAGUACAGUAGAGGUGGGCGGAAUUCGUGGUGUAGCGGUGAAAGGCUUAGAUAUCACGAAGAACUCCGAUUGCGAAGGCAGCUCACUGGACUGCAACUGACACUGAGGCUCGAAAGUGUGGGUAUCAAACAGGAUUAGAUACCCCUGUAGUC